RNAcentral lists this ribosomal RNA (301 nucleotides) under uncultured bacterium. Its description in RNAcentral is "partial 16S ribosomal RNA". It matches the Rfam family "Bacterial small subunit ribosomal RNA", at positions 509 to 807 of the family's 1533-position model. The record is from RNAcentral.
CAGUCGCCGCGGGAAUACAGAGGGUGCGAGCGUUAAUCGGAUUUACUGGGCGUAAAGCGUGCGUAGGCGGCUUCUUAAGUCGUAUGUGAAAUCCCUGAGCUUAACUUAGGAAUUGCAUUCGAUACUGGGAAGCUAGAGUAUGGGAGAGGAUGGUAGAAUUCCAGGUGUAGCGGUGAAAUGCGUAGAGAUCUGGAGGAAUACCGAUGGCGAAGGCAGCCAUCUGGCCUAAUACUGACGCUGAGGUACGAAAGCAUGGGGAGCAAACAGGAUUAGAUACCCCCGUAGUCCCUGUCUCUUAUAC